AAACAUCACCUCUAGCAUCACCAGUAUUAGAGGCACCGCCUGCCCAGUGACACAUGUUUAACGGCCGCGGUACCCUAACCGUGCAAAGGUAGCAUAAUCACUUGUUCCUUAAAUAGGGACCUGUAUUCGCCUGUUUNNUAAAAACAUAGCCCUCAGAAAUUAAUUUUGGGUGAAGCCUGCCCUAUGAUUAAAUUAAAUGGCCGCGGUACUCUGACCGUGCUAAGGUAGCAUAAUCAAUUGGCUUUUAAAUGGAGUCUGGAAUGAAAGGAAAUACGGGGUAUAGCUGUCUCUAAUUCUUUAUUAUGAAUUUACUAAUGAGGUGAAAAGGCCUCUAAAAGAAAAAAGACGAGAAGACCCUCAGAGUUUUCUUUUUUUGUUGGGGCGGCAUAGAGUCAAAAUGAACACUCUGGAUUAAAUAAGACGGUUUUAUCAUGUUUAGGCAAACUACCUGAGGGAUAACAGCAUAAUCUUUUUUGGGUUUGUGACCUCGAUGUUGGACUAGGAAGUCUGCUAGCUAGCCGCUAGUAAGAGGGAUUCUGUUCGAAUUUUAACUCCUACGUGAUCUAGUNNNAAACCGGAAAUCCUAUUCUAGAGUCCAUAUCAACAAUAGGGUUUACGACCUCGAUGUUGGAUCAGGACAUCCCAAUGGUGCAGCCGCUAUUAAAGGUUCGUUUGUUCAACGAUUAAAGUCCUACGUGAUCUGA
RNAcentral lists this ribosomal RNA (704 nucleotides) under Spiraphiline bathyalis. Its description in RNAcentral is "partial large subunit ribosomal RNA". It matches the Rfam family "Bacterial large subunit ribosomal RNA", at positions 1719 to 2608 of the family's 2925-position model. The record is from RNAcentral. Lineage: Eukaryota; Metazoa; Mollusca; Gastropoda; Cephalaspidea; Philinidae.